GCCCGUGGUCAAACCCUAGCUCCCCUCUCGCGUCUCCCCCAAUCAGCUCCCGCUUCUCCUCCCCCAAGCCAGCCGCCGCCCUCCUCAUCUCCCCGUCCAGCCGCCGCUUCACCUGCAUCCAUCUCUCCCCCAAUCCCCACCUGCUCCGGUCCCUUUCUCCUCCUCUACCCUGUCUCUCGGUUUUCUCCAUGGAUGUACCAUGGCGAGAGAGGCGGAGGGCAGGAGCUGCACCAUGGCUGGAGAGCCGGAGCUCGACGUGGAGGAGUACGCAGAGAAGCGGCAGACCGAUGUUCUCUCCCUCCUCCUCAACGCGCAGCAAGAGGAGCAGAUGGUGCCGCCAUCUUGGGGGCAACACGUUGGCUGCCACUGCAGAGAUAGACGAGGUCAGCAAGCCAAGCUAGAUCUACUUGGAAAUCUGAAUUGUAGUGUAUACCAACCAAGUUGCAGAUUCCUUACAUGUUUAGGGAAGGCAAUCAACAACAAGUUCUAGAAAAAAUAGAGGUUGCCAUUCAGGCGUGACAUUAUUGGAGCCAUCUCAUGGGGCUUUUUGUGUUGUCUCCUCAUAUUAACCUCACACAUGAUGCUAUACUUCAGGCCCUCGGGUGCUCGAUGUAUAGGCUAUGUUGUGUUCUUUUGCUUCUCUUCAUUACCUGGUUGGAUAAUUUGUCAUUGUGGAUAUGGAGAAAUGCUAGUUGUUACCAUCAGGUUAUGUUCUUAUCCAUGAGGAACAGUUGGGCUCCAGCUGUCUCAACACUUGAAUUAUUUGUGGUUUAGUUUGCUGAUUUAUUUUUCUUUUCAUUCAUUAAUUAAUAUACUACAUGGUGCAACUAUUAUUACGGCUGAUGUUACUGUCUUCAUUGUGUAAGCACUAGCUGUUGUGUGUACUUUAUUUUUUCAAGGUGCAUGAUCGCAAUUGUUGUGUGUAUAUCACGUGAGGCAAGUUUCAGGGUUCUGUUUGGACCAUCCUUUCUGAUCUUUGUUUCGGUUAUUGCAGAUUUAUUUGAUGGAGUUUGGUUAUGUUACGUGACUUAUGUCUUUGACAUUCGACGGAAAUGAAUCAAUAAAAUGCAGUAUGCAGAAGACCUUGAUAUAUCAAACUAUAGUGACAUGUAAUCUGGCUUGCAACUGAGAAGUUUAACCAUGCUUGUGUGACACCGUCUGGGAUGUUCCCUUCUCAGCCCCUGCUAAGAGUGCAACAAUUAAAAAAAAUUAAGUGAUUCCCAGAUCAUAUUAUUUACCUUCAUUCAGGAAAUAGACUACUACAAGAAAUGACUACGUAUGUAUGAAUCUUCCUUCAUCUAUGGUUGUUUAAUGCAGUGUAGUUGCUGUAUCUAUUCUGCUUUCCUUUGCUUACAUGUCAUACAGAAAUUAUCAUUAAGGUAUUGAAAAUAUUGGUCUACGGUGCACUAGCUUAAAAGUGGUCUUAUAGCAACAGACGGUACUGAUGAAGCUGAAUUUAUUCUUUGUGGAAAUUAGGUUGAGCAGCUCAUUGGUACCGCCACAAGAGUCAAUAUAUUAUUUGUGGAAAUAAGGUGCGAGUUAUUGCAAGGAACUGUCCCAUAAAUAUCAAUUCCUUUCUUGCUGCUACAUGCAUACAGUUGCCAUUCCAUAUAGAUGAAGCAUGUGCAUUUCUUUUUCUCUGUUCUGCUUUCGUUGUUAUAGCAAGAUUUCUAGAAACAUAAGCUCAGCCUAAUUGUUUUACUGGUGCCUUCUCUUUAAUCAUAUAAAUAUUAGAGUCGAUCUCAUCUUAAUUUCCUCCCAUUUAUUUCUUACAGUUUGUUUACUUUUUAACCAUGGCUUCAAGCCUAGCUUUUUAGUGUACAUACUUUUUAACCAUGGCUUCAAGCCUAGCUUUUUAGUGUACAUACCUUGUAUGGACGAGUCAAGGAGGUGCCAUCCGUGAGUUAAGGAAUUCUUUAUGAGCAACGCUCAAUUCUGAAUAUUUAUUCUCUUCCUUUCAAUAUUCAGUCAAGGAAAGCGUAUAACUUAUCUGUCCAUGACAAUGAGGUAUUGAAAGCAAGCGAUUCUCUACUGAAAGUAUGUUGCUCCACAGUAAAUACCUUUAUUCUUCGUGGCCAAGAUUGAUUCUUUUUGCACUGCUGGCUGCUUGAUUAUGUUGAAGUGAUUCUUUAUCAGGUCAACUCAAUGGAAUGGUUGGGCAAGGAGGAAGAGGCUCCUGUGGUCGACGUCGUUGGCAGCAGGUUGACGGUGCCAUUCAGCUCACGGAGGCAGGUCGACGUGGGUGACCACCUGGAGCAACUCGCACAUCAAAAAGAUGCACCAGGGUACAGAGGAGCUAAAGGACACACUGGUAUGACACAAGGCUCACUGGAACUGUCGGAAACGUCACCGGAGUGCUGUCGGAGUUGGAGAAGAUGAUGCCUGAUCUCCUCGGUUACUACGAGAUGGAGCAGGAAAUGAGGUCCCUGAGGAUCAGAGAAGCAUGGGCAACAAAAAUGAUUCAGGCAGGUUCCUCUGACCUUUCCUGUAGGAUGCUCACCUGCGGCAAUGGCGUGAAUGGCAGCUUGGGCGAUUUGGGGUUUGCAGAGGUCCGGGGAAGAGAGGAAAAGGAGAGCUAGGUCACGGGGAAGGUUUUUAAAGGUGAAGGGGGCGGUGUGGAUGGCCUGGUCAUCGAUGAACGGCGAGCAUCCUGCCGCUGCGCUGCCCGGUGGAGUGGUGCCACGAGGAAGACGACUGACUGAGGAGAGAGAAGUGCUUCUCCUGUUCCAUAAAUUAAUUGAGUACAAGGAAAAGGAUCGGAGGGGAUUCACUAGAACAUAAUACGUUAUUUCCUUUCCUAUUGUUUCUAAUUCACACAAGUUUCUGCCUAACAACUAAUGAGCAUAUAGUUGUUAUAUGAAUUGUGACAACCUGCAGUUUCAAUUUUACGGUUGCUUAUUAUUAGAUAAAGUAGUAAUAUGUAAAUUUCAUGGGAAGCUUAUUAAUUGCGAAUUUUUAGAUACUGUAUUAUUUUUCGGCAGAUGUCUAUAUUUUGUACUUCCUCUGGUGUUGUAGGCCAUUGCUGCAUCGAAACAAUAGUGCAUUCCCAUAAGGUACUGAUCUGGUGUUCGGUCGAAUUUGAAUUGAUGUAGCUUUACCAAACUACUCAUACUAUUAUUUAGUAAUUAUAUAUUGAUAUGUCUAGGUAAUAAUCUUUAGCAAGAUUAGUUCUUCCUUUAAAGAUUUCGUACAUUCCUUACCAAGAUUCUAUUUUUCUAACAUUGAUGCAAAUGUAAUUGACUUGUAGUAUUCCAUAGGGACUAGAUAUUUCGAUGAAAUUGCAGAUCGAUGACAAGUGAAAUUCCUAGGGGUUCCUUGGUAUGCGCAACUGUUUUGUUCAGACUGUAACAACUUCAAACUGAAAAUUUUGUCUACUUUUGAUUAUUGAUACCCCAUACUGUUGGCAUCUGCACCAGUAUGGCAUCUCUGUUGUUGCUGUUGAAAUUACCAAGUACAGUUCCAUCCAAACCCAACCUUGGAAGUAUAAUUGGCUCAUGUUUAUGCUGAUGCUUACUGAGUGAGACUCCUCUUUCUAACCAUUAUUAUUAUGACAUUGUAUUGAAUGUUCUCCAGGGAUGUCUCAUUUAACUACAUAGUUCACACAUAGCCUGUUUCUUUUCUGCAAUCAUUGGUACUCCAGGAUUUCCUCUUCAUUGGCUUGUUAAACUGCAGGUGCAGGUCAUUGCACAUGUCCCUGUGAAUCCAUUAGAAACACGCAUGCUAAAGUGGGAACAGAAAAGAGUGAUGGUUCCAGGCUUAAGUCCUCGGUGAAGAAAGCUAUGUUGGAUGUUGGGUGCAGAGACCAAGAACAAAAAGGAUUAGCUCUGUGCUCACAGGAUGGCGACGAAUAAUGACAUGGCAGCCCCUCCUACGAGUGCUGGACUAGACUGCAUACAGGUGCUGCUUCGUCAGGUCAAUUCUUCCACGCAAGACGGGGAGGCCUUCAUCGAGCUUCAUGGAACCCUUCGCUGCUCCUUGCUUCUUCCGGCGGUUCUCAUGAUUUCGUGUGUAUUAUCCUAAUUUGAUCCUAUAGACUUUGUUUUGUAAAAUCAGAGAAACCUAUUACCAUUUUUUCAACUUAUUUUAUCAUCGUUAUAUAAAAUGUACAUCGUUGCGAAUUUCA
Molecule: non-coding RNA, 4123 nt
Organism: Lolium perenne
Lineage: Eukaryota; Viridiplantae; Streptophyta; Magnoliopsida; Poales; Poaceae
Source: RefSeq, a predicted model, not a curated record